This 490-nucleotide ribosomal RNA is filed under the name uncultured bacterium. Its description in RNAcentral is "bacterial SSU rRNA". It matches the Rfam family "Bacterial small subunit ribosomal RNA", at positions 21 to 507 of the family's 1533-position model. The record is from RNAcentral.
GGCUCAGGAUGAACGCUAGCGGCAGGCUUAAUACAUGCAAGUCGUGGGGCAGCAUGAGUAGCAAUACUUGAUGGCGACCGGCAAACGGGUGAGGAACACGUACACAACCUUCCUCAAGCGGGGAAUAGCCCAGAGAAAUUUGGAUUAAUACCCAUAAUAUAUUUGAUAAGGCAUCUUAUUAAUAUUAAAGCUUCGGCACUUGAUGAUGGGUGUGCGGCUGAUUAGAUAGUUGGCGGGGUAACGGCCCACCAAGUCUACGAUCAGUAGCUGAUGUGAGAGCAUGAUCAGCCACACGGGCACUGAGACACGGGCCCGACUCCUACGGGAGGCAGCAGUAAGGAAUAUUGGACAAUGGACGAAAGUCUGAUCCAGCCAUGCCGCGUGAAGGAUUAAGGUCCUCUGGAUUGUAAACUUCUUUUAUAUGGGACGAAAAAAGGGCAUUCUUGUUCACUUGACGGUACCAUAUGAAUAAGCACCGGCUAACUCCGUG